This 587-nucleotide ribosomal RNA is filed under the name Salmonella enterica subsp. enterica serovar Typhimurium. RNAcentral's name for it is "partial 23S ribosomal RNA". It matches the Rfam family "Bacterial large subunit ribosomal RNA", at positions 1304 to 1874 of the family's 2925-position model. The record is from RNAcentral. Lineage: Bacteria; Pseudomonadati; Pseudomonadota; Gammaproteobacteria; Enterobacterales; Enterobacteriaceae.
AAGUAACGAUAAAGCGGGUGAAAAGCCCGCUCGCCGGAAGACCAAGGGUUCCUGUCCAACGUUAAUCGGGGCAGGGUGAGUCGACCCCUAAGGCGAGGCCGAAAGGCGUAGUCGAUGGGAAACGGGUUAAUAUUCCCGUACUUGGUGUUACUGCGAAGGGGGGACGGAGAAGGCUAUGUUGGCCGGGCGACGGUUGUCCCGGUUUAAGCGUGUAGGUGUGUGUUCCAGGUAAAUCCGGUUCACUUUAACACUGAGGCGUGACGACGAGGCACUACGGUGCUGAAGCAACAAAUGCCCUGCUUCCAGGAAAAGCCUCUAAGCAUCAGGUAACACGAAAUCGUACCCCAAACCGACACAGGUGGUCAGGUAGAGAAUACCAAGGCGCUUGAGAGAACUCGGGUGAAGGAACUAGGCAAAAUGGUGCCGUAACUUCGGGAGAAGGCACGCUGACACGUAGGUGAAGUGAUUUACUCAUGGAGCUGAAGUCAGUCGAAGAUACCAGCUGGCUGCAACUGUUUAUUAAAAACACAGCACUGUGCAAACACGAAAGUGGACGUAUACGGUGUGACGCCUGCCCGGUGCCGGAA